UCCUCAUAAAUCUUUGUUUAAUUUUCUCAUGUGAAUCUAAUUCGUUCUCUGGCCAGACGAACCCCCAUUUGGGAAGAGGGAAUGUCUUCCUCCCCUACACUAGCAAGAAGGAAGAUGGCUGACUCAUGUCCAAAAUAACCAUCUCCCAGAACAGAGACUACAGGACAAAGCUGAUCCAGAUCCUGCUGUUCAACCGGACUACUCUUGUGAAAAAACCGGUGAUUUAGAACUACUUUUUAGAACAAAACGAGCCCUACCUCGAUUAUUUUCCUCUUAUCUCCUUUUGUAAUGACAGACAAUUCUCUUUAAAAACGGGCUCAACAUUAUGCUGAGCUCCGUAGCCAAACCACGUGUUGGGUUUGCAGACCCUUGCCUCUGUCUAGGGCUUCUGGCCUCCCCUGGUGGGUCUCUCCCCUCCAGGGCACUGACUGGCGUGCAAUGCUUCUCUUCACUACACAAGGUAUUUCUAGCUCUUCUCUUCUACAAGAUUCAUCUGUUACUAAUCAUAAUGUCUCCUUGGGGCCAUCCGUCUCUGUCACCUGGGAGCUCCCUGGCCACAAUCAAACCUUUUCCUUCAACUC
Equus caballus (horse) is the source of this 581-nucleotide non-coding RNA. NCBI's taxonomy places the organism in Eukaryota, Metazoa, Chordata, Mammalia, Perissodactyla, Equidae. The record is from RefSeq and is a predicted model, not a curated record.